GGCACCACUCUGUGAGAUGGGCAAUGCAGUUAAAUACCAAAAUACUUUUCACAUCAUUUAACACCAGGUGGCUCUAAGCAUAAUCCUGCAUAGGUAGGUAGGUGGAGAUUACUUCUACUCUCAUUAUCUUGUUUUCAAGUUCAUCUGAGAAAAUACAAUGAAUUUAAAGGAAGAAAUAGCGAGAAUUGCAUCAAAAUGUGGAAGC
This 205-nucleotide long non-coding RNA is filed under the name Homo sapiens (human). RNAcentral's name for it is "HSALNT0128526". The record is from RNAcentral. Lineage: Eukaryota; Metazoa; Chordata; Mammalia; Primates; Hominidae.